Alosa sapidissima (American shad) is the source of this 156-nucleotide long non-coding RNA. RefSeq lists it as uncharacterized. The record is from RefSeq and is a predicted model, not a curated record. The transcript is spliced from 3 exons. Lineage: Eukaryota; Metazoa; Chordata; Actinopteri; Clupeiformes; Clupeidae.
ACCCAGCAGUGAUAAACUAUCAACCCAGCAAGCUGGGUUACAGAAAUGACCCAAUAUGAGUAAAAACCACCAAACUAAAUGACCCAACAGCCUCAACCCAGCGUUUGGGUUGAAAAAACAACCCAGCAUUUUUUAGAGUGUAGGUAUGGCUCACUC